This 601-nucleotide ribosomal RNA is filed under the name uncultured bacterium. RNAcentral's name for it is "bacterial SSU rRNA". It matches the Rfam family "Bacterial small subunit ribosomal RNA", at positions 728 to 1333 of the family's 1533-position model. The record is from RNAcentral.
GCGAGUCCUCUACUGACGCUAAAGCUCGAAGGUGCGGGUAUCGAACAGGAUUAGAUACCCUGGUAGUCCGCACGGUAAACGAUGGAUGCCCGCUGUCGGCGAUAUACUGUCGGCGGCCAAGCGAAAGCGUUAAGCAUCCCACCUGGGGAGUACGCCGGCAACGGUGAAACUCAAAGGAAUUGACGGGGGCCCGCACAAGCGGAGGAACAUGUGGUUUAAUUCGAUGAUACGCGAGGAACCUUACCCGGGCUUGAACUGCAGGAGAACGAUCCAGAGAUGGUGAGGCCCUUCGGGGCUCCUGUGGAGGUGCUGCAUGGUUGUCGUCAGCUCGUGCCGUGAGGUGUCGGCUUAAGUGCCAUAACGAGCGCAACCCCUGUCCCCGGUUGCCAUCAGGUAGUGCUGGGCACUCCGUGGAUACUGCCACCGUAAGGUGUGAGGAAGGUGGGGAUGACGUCAAAUCAGCACGGCCCUUACGUCCGGGGCUACACACGUGUUACAAUGGGUGGUACAGAGAGUCGGGGCUGCGCAAGCCGCCUCCAAUCUUGAAAGCCAUCCUCAGUUCGGAUUGGGGUCUGCAACCCGACCCCAUGAAGCUGGAUUC